This 192-nucleotide unclassified non-coding RNA is filed under the name uncultured fungus. RNAcentral's name for it is "sequence contains ITS1". Lineage: Eukaryota; Fungi. The record is from RNAcentral.
UUAACUAUUAUAUAGUACUCAGACAAUAAUAUAAACAUGAGUUUUAGAUCCUCUGGCAGGCGCUGACCAGCUGGAGCCGGUUGUCUUGCGACGGGCCUGCCAAAGCAACAAUGGUAUGUAAACAAAGGGUGGAGUAGUAGACCGAAGUCUCUAGACUCUUUAAUGAUCCUUCCGCAGGUUCACCUACGGAAA